AUGAAAGCAGUGAAGUCCUUGCUUUUUCCUUCUCCUCCCCUUCCUCCUCCUCCUUCCUUCCCCUCUCCCAUCUCCCCUUCUCCUCCCCUUCUCUUCUUUCUUUUCCUUCUAGGCUGUUUCCUGGCACAGACAGGGCCCAUGCUCUCUGCUGAGGAUAAAGUGGCUUGCUCCUCGCUGGGAGAAGACUUCUGGGGACUGUUGUUCCAGCAUUUGGAUAAAAUGACAAAAUGAGAUUUUCAAAUCUUCCUUUCACAUUUUCCAGAUAUGAAUGGUACCAGAUUUACCAUUAAAAAAAAAAAAAUCACAGUUGAGCUUCCAACUUGUACUUUUUUUUUUUUUUCCAUUAAUGGGUUCUUUCCAAGACAGGAAAUCAACAAGAGAGAAAAAAUUUAUAGCUAGUCUCAGUUAAAGAAUGCCAUUUUGAGCACUGGAUUUUCUUUUCUGCUUUCAAAUACCCACAUUUGUCUUCACAUUUCUUCCCCAAAAUCCUCAUCAUCUUAUUCGACACGGUAGAUGCUUAAUAUGCUGACACUUAUGGGAAGAGAAGGUCUCUCCAGGGAGAGUCAUAGAGUUGUUCUGGGUGACUGCCGGAGCUGCUGACCUGAGCCAUCCUGGUGUUGCCAGGAUGCAGCGUGUCUCCAGUUUCAGUAGAUGAGAGGCUCAGGGGCACCUUGGGCUGGCUUUGUCUAUCCAGAUUUAGAAGAUGGCUUCAAAGAUGGAGCCAAGGCUCCAGAAAGAUCUUUCAUAAGGUUAUCCAUGGAGGUGACUGACUGGAGAAGAUGUCAGGGUCACGCACCUUGUUUUCCUCAAUAAUUUCUCUAUUCACUCCAGACUGUCUUCUUAAACUGUUAAAAUCAAAGAAAGAGUAUUUUUUAAAAUUAUGAUGCUUCUAAUGUACCUUUUGUAUUAUGUUCUGAGAGAGUUAAGAUAGGGAUAAGAUCUUAUAAUUAUACAAGUUAUUGUGUAUAAUUGCAUGAGAUAAACUUUUAAGAGGAGAAGAAAAGGUGGUUUAAUACAUUUCUGUCUCUUAGAAUUUUGGAAUUGUGAGAAGUCACCAAAAGAAGAGAACGUUAUCAUAGACCUUAGGAAUAGUGUUUUUAUUUAUCGUUCUCUUUAUUUUAAAAAUGAAACAGUUGAGAUUUUUCACCAAUAAAAUUGACAAAGAUAAUCUUUAUAUGAUCGUA
Molecule: long non-coding RNA, 1184 nt
Filed under: Bos indicus x Bos taurus (hybrid cattle)
Lineage: Eukaryota; Metazoa; Chordata; Mammalia; Artiodactyla; Bovidae
Description: lncRNA (ENSBIXG00005030912.1)
Source: RNAcentral